Molecule: ribosomal RNA, 1017 nt
Filed under: uncultured bacterium
Lineage: Bacteria
Description: partial 16S ribosomal RNA
Source: RNAcentral
AACAUUUCACAACACGAGCUGACGACAGCCAUGCAGCACCUGUCUCACGGUUCCCGAAGGCACUAAGGCAUCUCUGCCGAAUUCCGUGGAUGUCAAGGCCAGGUAAGGUUCUUCGCGUUGCAUCGAAUUAAACCACAUGCUCCACCGCUUGUGCGGGCCCCCGUCAAUUCAUUUGAGUUUUAACCUUGCGGCCGUACUCCCCAGGCGGUCAACUUAAUGCGUUAGCUGCGCCACUAAGAGCUCAAGGCUCCCAACGGCUAGUUGACAUCGUUUACGGCGUGGACUACCAGGGUAUCUAAUCCUGUUUGCUCCCCACGCUUUCGCACCUCAGUGUCAGUAUCAGUCCAGGUGGUCGCCUUCGCCACUGGUGUUCCUUCCUAUAUCUACGCAUUUCACCGCUACACAGGAAAUUCCACCACCCUCUACCAUACUCUAGUCAGUCAGUUUUGAAUGCAGUUCCCAGGUUGAGCCCGGGGAUUUCACAUCCAACUUAACAAACCACCUACGCGCGCUUUACGCCCAGUAAUUCCGAUUAACGCUUGCACCCUCUGUAUUACCGCGGCUGCUGGCACAGAGUUAGCCGGUGCUUAUUCUGUCGGUAACGUCAAAACAAUCACGUAUUAGGUAACUGCCCUUCCUCCCAACUUAAAGUGCUUUACAAUCCGAAGACCUUCUUCACACACGCGGCAUGGCUGGAUCAGGCUUUCGCCCAUUGUCCAAUAUUCCCCACUGCUGCCUCCCGUAGGAGUCUGGACCGUGUCUCAGUUCCAGUGUGACUGAUCAUCCUCUCAGACCAGUUACGGAUCGUCGCCUUGGUGAGCCAUUACCUCACCAACUAGCUAAUCCGACCUAGGCUCAUCUGAUAGCGCAAGGCCCGAAGGUCCCCUGCUUUCUCCCGUAGGACGUAUGCGGUAUUAGCGUCCGUUUCCGAACGUUAUCCCCCACUACCAGGCAGAUUCCUAGGCAUUACUCACCCGUCCGCCGCUCUCAAGAGAAGCAAGCUUCUCUCUACCGCUC